UUUGGAAACUAUUAAACUAUUGAGCCAGAGUCUGAAGUUAGUAGAGGUGCUGGAGGAGAAGGUUGGAGGAGCAUGCUGGGGGAGCAGGCUGAGGGACAGCCGGUAGGAGUUGGAAGACAGUAGCCCAGAGUAGUGAGACAGUGACUGAACCAACAAAGAGUUGUUGAACAGCGGUCAGCCAAGAGCUUCCUGACGACGGGCUGAGGAACAUCAUCAGGCAGCAGGCUCCCAUCUUGUGUGUGUAAGAGGCUGGGUUGGGUUAAGUCCUGUGGAGUGCCGGGGAUCGCGGAAGCGUCGCCUGUAUGUACUGAGACUAUCCACCUUCCUGCCCUGCCAAUGACUCAACGCCAGUGUCGAAGUGACCAGCAUCAAGGUGAAUUUGAAACCCGGAGGUUGAAAAUGGAACAGUCAAAAUGGAAAUUGACCGUGACUCCUACAAUGAAGCUUUUCUUUCACUUUUCUUCACAUUGAUCAUUUUUUACUGGAAUUAGUCUUACUGCAGAACUGUAGACUUUCA
This is a long non-coding RNA of Esox lucius (northern pike), 517 nucleotides long. RefSeq lists it as uncharacterized. NCBI's taxonomy places the organism in Eukaryota, Metazoa, Chordata, Actinopteri, Esociformes, Esocidae. The record is from RefSeq and is a predicted model, not a curated record. The transcript has 5 exons.